CCGCAGAGGGGGCCCAGCACACUGCCUCUACUCUUCUCUUCUCUUCUCUUCCAAUAACUCUCGCGAGACCCACGGAGUGUUGCCAUGGUAACCGGGUCUCGCGAGAGUUAUUAGAAUAGAGGAGAAGAGAAGAGUAGAGGCAGUGUGCUGGGCCCCCUCUGUGGUAA
Pelobates cultripes (western spadefoot toad) is the source of this 167-nucleotide non-coding RNA. The record is from the annotation of a GenBank genome assembly. NCBI's taxonomy places the organism in Eukaryota, Metazoa, Chordata, Amphibia, Anura, Pelobatidae.